RNAcentral lists this long non-coding RNA (433 nucleotides) under Equus caballus (horse). RNAcentral describes it as "lncRNA (ENSECAG00000031620.3)". Lineage: Eukaryota; Metazoa; Chordata; Mammalia; Perissodactyla; Equidae. The record is from RNAcentral.
AUUGGCUCCUUCUUGUCAGUUGGAAAACCCUGUAUCUGAUCACUCUGUUUCUACUACCUUCUCUUAGAAAACUACUGCCCACUAUAAUUACCCUUAAAACAUAGUUCUCAAUGUUUUUGCUGUGAAAAGCUUUCAAAGAUACCUUAUAGACGUCGAUCUAGAAGACUUGUCAUCUUUGGUGCUCUGCUAUCAGUGAUAUCCAAUCUUCUAUUCCCAGUGUCUCUUCCACCUCCUGAUACAGAUGAACCCUGCUCAAGGCAUACAAAAUAUGUAACAGAAUGGAUGACUGAGAAAAUGAAUGGCUAUAUCUAAGCCGGGUAACCAACGUGCCAGCACAAAUUAUUUCCCAUCCGUCCUCUGCCUACUGAAUCAAAAUACAUGCAUACAUAUAUGGAUGUAUAUGUAUGUUAAAUUUUCUGAGAUGUAUUUCUUA